RNAcentral lists this ribosomal RNA (479 nucleotides) under uncultured bacterium. Its description in RNAcentral is "partial 16S ribosomal RNA". It matches the Rfam family "Bacterial small subunit ribosomal RNA", at positions 28 to 507 of the family's 1533-position model. The record is from RNAcentral.
GACGAACGCUGGCGGCGCGCUUAACACAUGCAAGUCGAGCGAUGAAAUUUCGACAGAUCCCUUCGGGGUGAAGAUGAAAUGGAUUAGCGGCGGACGGGUGAGUAACACGUGUGUAACCUGCCUUUGACAUUGGGAUAGCCUCGGGAAACUGGGAUUAAUACCAAAUGACACUAACUGAUCACAUGAUCAAUUAGUCAAAGAAAUUCGGUCAAAGAUGGACUCGCGGCUGAUUAGCUAGUUGGUGAGGUAACGGCCCACCAAGGCGACGAUCAGUAGCCGGCCUGAGAGGGUGAUCCGCCACAUUGGAACUGAGACACGGUCCAAACUCCUACGGGAGGCAGCAGUGGGGAAUAUUGCACAAUGGGGGAAACCCUGAUGCAGCGACGCCGCGUGAGCGAAGAAGGCCUUCGGGACGUAAAGCUCUUUUAUGAGGGAAGAUAAUGACGGUACCUCAAGAAAAAGCCCCGGCUAACUACGUG